GCCUAACACAUGCAAGUCGUACGCUGUUCUUCCUCUUCGGAGGAAGGACGGAGUGGCGGACGGGUGCGUAACACGUGAGCGACCUGCCCUUUUCCGGGGGAUAACCAGGGGAAACCCUGGCUAAUACCGCAUGCGCGCAAAUCCCGCAUGGGAGUUGCGUAAAAGGGGCUUCGGCCUUGGGGGAGGAGGGGCUCGCGGGGUAUCAGGUAGUUGGUGGGGUAAUGGACCACCAAGCCGACGACGCCUAGCUGAUCUGAGAGGAUGAUCAGCCACAUUGGGACUGAGAUACGGCCCAGACUCCUACGGGAGGCAGCAGUGGGGAAUCUUGCGCAAUGGCCGAAAGGCUGACGCAGCGACGCCGCGUGCGGGAGGACGCCCUUCGGGGUGUAAACCGCUGUCAGAGGGGAAGAACACCGUAGGGAGGCAAUGCCCUGCGGCUGACGGUACCCUCAGAGGAAGCACCGGCUAACUCCGUGCCAGCAGCCGCGGUAAUACGGAGGGUGCGAGCGUUGUUCGGAAUUACUGGGCGUAAAGCGCGCGUAGGCGGCUUCUUAAGUCGGACUGUGAAAUUUCGGGGCUCAACCCCGGACCUGCAGCCGAUACUGGGGAGCUGGAGACAAGCAGAGGCAGGUGGAAUUCCGGGUGUAGCGGUGGAAUGCGUAGAGAUCCGGAAGAACACCGGUGGCGAGGGCGGCCUGCUGGGCUUGGUCUGACGCUGAGGCGCGAAAGCGUGGGGAGCGAACAGGAUUAGAUACCCUGGUAGUCCACGCCGUAAACGAUGGGCACUAGGUGCCGGGGGGAUCGACCCUCUCGGUGCCGGAGCUAACGCGUUAAGUGCCCCGCCUGGGGAGUACGGCCGCAAGGCUGAAACUCAAAGGAAUUGACGGGGGCCCGCACAAGCGGUGGAGCAUGUGGUUUAAUUCGAAGCAACGCGAAGAACCUUACCUAGGCUUGACAUGCACGUGAAACCCUGGUGAAAGCCAGGGCCUCCUUCGGGACACGUGCACAGGUGCUGCAUGGCUGUCGUCAGCUCGUGUCGUGAGAUGUUGGGUUAAGUCCCGCAACGAGCGCAACCCCUGUCUCCUGUUGCUAACAGCAGCUUCGGCUGGCUGAGGACUCUGGAGAGACUGCCGGUGAUAAACCGGAGGAAGGUGGGGAUGACGUCAAGUCAUCAUGGUCCUUACGCCUAGGGCUACACACGUGCUACAAUGGCCGGGACAAACCGAAGCGAUGCCGCGAGGUGGAGCGAAUCGGAGAAACCCGGUCUAAGUUCGGAUUGCAGUCUGCAACUCGACUGCAUGAAGUUGGAAUCGCUAGUAAUCGUGGAUCAGCUACGCCACGGUGAAUACGUUCCCGGGCCUUGUACACACCGCCCGUCACGCCAUGGGAGUCGGGAGCGCCCGAAGUCCGUGAGCUAACCGCAAGGAAGCAGCGGCCGAAGGCGAGCUCGGUGACUGGGGCGAAGUCGUAACAAGGUAGCCGUAGGGGAACCUGCGGCUGGAUCACCUCCUU
RNAcentral lists this ribosomal RNA (1512 nucleotides) under uncultured bacterium. RNAcentral describes it as "16S ribosomal RNA". It matches the Rfam family "Bacterial small subunit ribosomal RNA". The record is from RNAcentral.